GACGGAGGAGGCCAGCGUUAUUCGGAAUUAUUGGGCGUAAAGGGUACGUAGGCGGCUGGUCAAGUCUGGGGUCAAAGGCCACAGCUCAACUGUGGGAAGGCCCUGGAAACUGGCCGGCUAGAGUGAGGUAGGGGUUGCGGGAAUUCCCGGUGUAGCGGUGAAAUGCGUAGAGAUCGGGAAGAACACCUGAGGCGGAAGCGCGCAACUGGGCCUCAACUGACGCUGAGGUACGAAAGCUAGGGGAGCGAAUGGG
RNAcentral lists this ribosomal RNA (253 nucleotides) under uncultured bacterium. RNAcentral describes it as "partial 16S ribosomal RNA". It matches the Rfam family "Bacterial small subunit ribosomal RNA", at positions 524 to 776 of the family's 1533-position model. The record is from RNAcentral.